CUAUACAUGCAAGUCGAGCGAGCUUGCCUAGAUGAAUUUGGUGCUUGCACCAGAUGAAACUAGAUACAAGCGAGCGGCGGACGGGUGAGUAACACGUGGGUAACCUGCCCAAGAGACUGGGGUAACACCUGGAAACAGAUGCUAAUACCGGAUAACAACACUAGACGCAUGUCUAGAGUUUAAAAGAUGGUUCUGCUAUCACUCUUGGAUGGACCUGCGGUGCAUUAGCUAGUUGGUAAGGUAACGGCUUACCAAGGCAAUGAUGCAUAGCCGAGUUGAGAGACUGAUCGGCCACAUUGGGACUGAGACACGGCCCAAACUCCUACGGGAGGCAGCAGUAGGGAAUCUUCCACAAUGGACGCAAGUCUGAUGGAGCAACGCCGCGUGAGUGAAGAAGGGUUUCGGCUCGUAAAGCUCUGUUGGUAGUGAAGAAAGAUAGAGGUAGUAACUGGCCUUUAUUUGACGGUAAUUACUUAGAAAGUCACGGCUAACUACGUGCCAGCAGCCGCGGUAAUACGUAGGUGGCAAGCGUUGUCCGGAUUUAUUGGGCGUAAAGCGAGUGCAGGCGGUUCAAUAAGUCUGAUGUGAAAGCCUUCGGCUCAACCGGAGAAUUGCAUCAGAAACUGUUGAACUUGAGUGCAGAAGAGGAGAGUGGAACUCCAUGUGUAGCGGUGGAAUGCGUAGAUAUAUGGAAGAACACCAGUGGCGAAGGCGGCUCUCUGGUCUGCAACUGACGCUGAGGCUCGAAAGCAUGGGUAGCGAACAGGAUUAGAUACCCUGGUAGUCCAUGCCGUAAACGAUGAGUGCUAA
RNAcentral lists this ribosomal RNA (810 nucleotides) under Lactobacillus gasseri. RNAcentral's name for it is "bacterial SSU rRNA". It matches the Rfam family "Bacterial small subunit ribosomal RNA", at positions 49 to 819 of the family's 1533-position model. Lineage: Bacteria; Bacillati; Bacillota; Bacilli; Lactobacillales; Lactobacillaceae. The record is from RNAcentral.